UCUCCACGAGAACAAAAGCAUCAACCACCAACUCCACCCCACCCCCAAGCAGGCUGUUGCGCUCUCUAACCACAUAGCCCAUGCUGGAGACAAUGUAAUCCCACGGGGAAGACAGAAGGUCACAGGCACGCUGUGAAAUCACAAAAUAAGGUCCACUUUUUAGAAAGGCUCGACGGUGCUUUCACCGCUCACAAUGUCAUUUGGAACAAACAGGUGGAGCGCAGACAUGGCCUGCUCUUCUCCUGCUGUCCCUUCCCUCGGCAUAUAGGAGGUUACACGUGUCCAGCGCGGUCCAAAAUUACGGGCACGGCCUUUACAAUAAGCAGGAGAACUCAAGAUGUGGCAAGGGUUGCAAUACUCAGUGUAACACUGCAGGAGGAGGUGAUGGCAAGGGCUGCAGAAAAAUAAACAUAUAGAGGCUGGCUUUGUCUAUAUCAAUGAGUAAUUCAUCAUAACAGAUCACCAUACUGAUGUAGUUAAUGCUGAGAAUCAGCAUGUUUGUUACAAGCACUUUGCGGAUUUGAACUUCAGGCUACCUUUGACUCAAUCCCUCGGACUGGCUGUUCUCACCAUACAAGCAGUUUAAAGCUGUCCAAAGGCCCACUGGCUGGUUUGGACUCUUACAUCCCCACUGGAGUUUGGAGUACGUUUCCCACGCACUGGGCAGAGCUGCGGGGUUGGCUUCCUCUGCAGGGAACCUGAGCUGCUCUGUGAACUGAACCAAUGAGCAAUAAAUGGGUGUGAUGAGGGAUUUCUUUCAAAACUGCACUACUGCUCUGAACCAAAAUGCCGUUGUAUAUAUAACUAUAUAUAUGUUUGUGGUUUGGGGAAGAUACUGCGUAUUUUUCUGCUGUAUAUAAACCCAAUAAUUUUGCAUGAUAAUGCUGGUAUACCUUCUUGUAUACAUUUCUAGCCAGCAACCUCUAGUAAGUUCUCUAUGUUUAAUGGUGCAAGACAAAAGCCAACUACACUGAAUCACUGUGCAAGCAGAUAAAUUCUUACAUACAUACUUUACAUGCAACUCAGAAGAGCAGAUUUUAUUUUAUCAAGUGAUAAUAAUUGUGGUCCCCACAUAAGCAAUAUGAAAAACUGUUUUCCAAGCUGUGAUGAAAUAACUGCAAUGUAAAUUGAGGAAGUGUUACUCCAAACCUCCAAAAAAGAGAAAGUGAUGUGUUUGCCAAACCUGGAAAAGAGACUUACUGUCUGUGAUCAAAGGCAGCACUGCUCUACACAGAACUUAUGAGAACACAGAAAGGGUGAAGGAAAAAAAGGUCUGGAAUCAUGCAAGUUUCA
Long non-coding RNA from Cygnus atratus (black swan), 1293 nucleotides. RefSeq lists it as uncharacterized. The record is from RefSeq and is a predicted model, not a curated record. Lineage: Eukaryota; Metazoa; Chordata; Aves; Anseriformes; Anatidae. The transcript has 3 exons.